Molecule: long non-coding RNA, 1843 nt
Organism: Crotalus tigris (Tiger rattlesnake)
Lineage: Eukaryota; Metazoa; Chordata; Lepidosauria; Squamata; Viperidae
Exons: 2
Source: RefSeq, a predicted model, not a curated record
UAGACCUGUUUUAGGCAUGAAAGCCAGCUGGGUGACUGUGGGCCAAUUAUGCCUCCUGGCAUAAUAAACCUGCUCCAAAAUUCCCCCCAAAGAAACCCAGAAGCAUUUCAAAAAAGGUGCCUCAAGACUAAGAGCCAACUCUGGAGAAACUAAACCACUCUCUUUUUAGUUUUGUUGUGCAGGGGGAGGGCAAAGCCACUUUGAUCGGGAGAGGAGCGGCUACAUAAAUCUGACAAGUAAAAAUGAGGUACGUCUAAGGCACAGCCACUACUAUUUCAUUAACGUAUCAGCCACCACGGGUGGAAAAUGCAAUAGAAACGCGAGCUGCCUUUUAAAAUAAAAGCAUUUGAUCCAUUAGCAUGGACGUCAAUCCUUCCUUCUCUAGCCGGUCUGUCUGCCAGAGGAUGCUGGCCCAUUUUUCUUACGAAGGAGGCAGCAAAUUAAAUAUAUUCCGGACCCUCUUCAACCUCGGCUGUUAAGAAUCUAGGUGUCUCUUACAACACAACUGCUCCCUCUUCGGCUGCUUGUUCCUUAAAUCCAGGACUGCAGGACAGACCUAAUUUCCCAGGCUGGUUUCCAUCCUGUAAAUGAUUGGCUGCUGCUUCAAAAUGGGGCAAGAGUCUCAACAAUGGACUUUUUCACAGCCUUCCUAACUGUGGUGAGAUGACACUGUGUUGAGUUUGAUCUGGAUUGUACCAAUUCUUUUAAGCUUUCGAUUAAAGCUAGCAAUUAUUGACAGAGGCCAAAUGCAAAGGAUCCAAGGUAAGGUUGGAAAAAAAUUCUUUCAAUAAAGAGAUAUAGUUGAUGUGCGGCAGAGGGAGAAUCACUGCACAAGGGUUGUGCAUGAAUAUGAGUCAGGGAAAGUUCAUGUUUCACCUUUUCUCUUAUUUGACUCCUAUCUAAUCUAUGGCCUUUUCCUACAGAGGUACAACAUUAAAGCAGUAGAGUCUAUUUCCCCAACUAAAAGGAAAAUCUGGAACUGGAAAAGCUGGGCUAAGCAGCCCAAAUGUUUUCCCCAGUUACCCCAGUUUAGCAAAAUUAAAACUGCUGAUGGCUUCAACGCCACCUCCCACUUCUCUGCUAAUUCUGUUAUCUGAAUUUGCAAGGUUAACCAUCUCAAAACAGCGACUGAGGGCAGAAGAUGAAAAGGAAUAGCAACCCCCCAUCCGGAAUAGAAUAUAUUAAAUAAAAGAUCCCCAGUACAGAUACCCAACUUACAACUGUUCAAUUAGUGAUUACAGUGGCACUAAAAAAAAAAAGUGACCUUUGACCGCUUAGUAAGAAAUUUUGGGCUCAGCCAUGGCUGUACGUCAAGGACUGCCUGUAACAGAUCCAAAAUAAUGCAACAUACUCCCAGGUCUCAAAUAAUAAAUCCAUAAACGGGGGUUUAACCUCCUCGCCCAGGUCUUCAAGGCCCUACGAGAGGGGUUGGAUCCGUCUGGAUCUUUGCUCCAUAAGGAGCAAGAGAAAGCGAGACUGUCCCAUCACGAAUCUCAAGAGGUCUCCCUCUUGAGAUCAUCUAGACUGCGCAACUGCUCCCCAUCCUGAAUUCCUGAGCCCUUUCGGUCCCGUCGGCCUGCAGCAGGUAAAAUCUUUACUUGAUCUUCUCUGUAAUAACAUCCUUGCGGAGGCAAGUCUGCAGGACAUAGCUUGAAAGGUUGAUCUCCUUGCAGAGCACGCUGCCAGCAGGCUUAAUGCGCCGCUGGGAUGUGGCUGGAGGAGGUGCCAGGCGGCUAGACCGCAGCAGUAAUGCAGCAACUGCACGCCGAGGAAUAAACUGCAAGGCAGCUCAGUUUAAAAAAAAAAAAAAAAAACGGGGGAAAUUCCCUGAGACAAAGGGACC